GCUCUUGUGGCGCAAUUGGCUAGCGCGUUCGGCUGUUAAGGGAGUUGUUAUUUGACACUUCAAAGCAACCGGAAGGUUGGUGGUUCAAGCCCACCCAGGAGCG
Non-coding RNA from Borealophlyctis nickersoniae, 103 nucleotides. The record is from the annotation of a GenBank genome assembly. NCBI's taxonomy places the organism in Eukaryota, Fungi, Chytridiomycota, Chytridiomycetes, Rhizophlyctidales, Borealophlyctidaceae.